Molecule: non-coding RNA, 818 nt
Filed under: Trigoniophthalmus alternatus
Lineage: Eukaryota; Metazoa; Arthropoda; Insecta; Archaeognatha; Machilidae
Source: RNAcentral
AAUAAAUUGAAGUUUGAUUCCUGCUUAAUAGUUUUAUUAAUUUGUAAGGUUUACAUACAAAUAUUAGUGUGUUAGAAGUUUAUAUGUUUGAUUAUUAUAAAAUUAUAUACUAUGUGUAGUAUUUAUUAUUAAAUAUUGAAUUAAUUCGGAUUUAGUUAUAGGAAUAGAAAAUUGAUUAAAUAUGUGCCAGCUUUCGCGGUUAUACAUGAAAUUUAAUUAAAACUUUUUGGUGAAAGGUAAAAAUUUUGAUUGAUAUUAUUAAAUAGAGUAAAAUUGAAUGUAAGGGUAAAAUUUUAAUUUGGUGAAUAACUUUUAAUAUUAUUGUUGCAGGAUUUAUAAAAAUUAUUUUAUAAACUAGGAUUAGAUACCCUAUUAUUUUAAUUUAAUUUGUGUGCGGGGUAUUAAUGUAAUAAAAUUAAUAUGAAACCUAAAGAAUUUGACGGUGUUUUAUUCUAAUUAGAGGAACUUGUUUUGUAAUCGACAGUCCACGUUUAACCUUUCUUAAUUUUGUAGAUAUUAUGUAUACCGUCGCGUCAGAAUAUUUUUGAAGAGUGCUUAAUUUUCUUAGUAUUAUUAAGAUAUAACGUCAGAUCAAGGUGCAGGUUAUAAUUAAGUAAUGAUGAGUUACAUUAAAAUAUAUUUAUAUGAAUUAAAUUAUUAAAAUAUUUAUGAAGGUGGAUUUAAUUGUAAUGUGGAAAAUAGAUUUUAAGUGAAAUUUUGUAGCUCUAAAACAUGUACACAUCGCCCGUCGCUCUUGUUUAUAAAAUGAGAUAAGUCGUAACAUAGUAGUUGUACCGGAAGGUGUAACUAGAUUUAAC